GGGCCGUUAGCUCAGCUGGCUAGAGCACCGCCUUUGCAAGGCGGGGGUCGUGGGUUCGAAUCCCACACGGUCCACCA
This 77-nucleotide transfer RNA is filed under the name Candidatus Uhrbacteria bacterium CG22_combo_CG10-13_8_21_14_all_47_17. RNAcentral describes it as "tRNA-Ala". It matches the Rfam family "tRNA". From Rfam's summary of the family: Transfer RNA (tRNA) molecules are approximately 80 nucleotides in length. Their secondary structure includes four short double-helical elements and three loops (D, anti-codon, and T loops). RNAcentral also lists the same sequence under 1 other name. Lineage: Bacteria; Candidatus Uhriibacteriota. The record is from RNAcentral.